This 247-nucleotide ribosomal RNA is filed under the name uncultured bacterium. RNAcentral's name for it is "partial 16S ribosomal RNA". It matches the Rfam family "Bacterial small subunit ribosomal RNA", at positions 15 to 263 of the family's 1533-position model. The record is from RNAcentral.
GAUCCUGGCUCAGAUUGAACGCUAGCGGGAUGCCUUACACAUGCAAGUCGAACGGCAGCACGGACUUCGGUCUGGUGGCGAGUGGCGAACGGGUGAGUAAUGUAUCGGAACGUGCCCAGUAGCGGGGGAUAACUACGCGAAAGCGUAGCUAAUACCGCAUACGCCUACGGGGGAAAGGCAGGGGAGUCGCAAGACCUUGCACUAUUGGAGCGGCCGAUAUCGGAUUAGCUAGUUGGUGGGGUAACGG